GAUGAAGAACGCAGCGAAAUGCGAUAAGUAAUGUGAAUUGCAGAAUUCAGUGAAUCAUCGAAUCUUUGAACGCACAUUGCGCCCGUUAGCAUUCUAGCGGGCAUGCCUGUCCGAGCGUCAUUUCAACCCUCAGGGUCCCCGUUCCGGCGGGGAACCUGGUGUUGGGGAUCGGCCCGCCCCGUGCGGCGCCGUCCCCCAAAUUCAGUGGCGGUCUCGCUGCAGCCUCCCCUGCGUAGUAGUUACAACCUCGCAUCGGAGCUCAGCGCGGCCACGCCGUAAAACCCCGACUUUCUGAACGUUGACCUCGGAUCAGGUAGGAAUACCCGCUGAACUUAAGCAUAUCAAUAAGCGGAGGA
Molecule: unclassified non-coding RNA, 356 nt
Filed under: soil metagenome
Description: partial contains 5.8S ribosomal RNA, internal transcribed spacer 2, and large subunit ribosomal RNA
Rfam family: 5.8S ribosomal RNA (bases 1-120)
Source: RNAcentral